Molecule: ribosomal RNA, 465 nt
Filed under: uncultured bacterium
Lineage: Bacteria
Description: partial 16S ribosomal RNA
Rfam family: Bacterial small subunit ribosomal RNA
Source: RNAcentral
GACGAACGCUGGCGGCGUGCUUAACACAUGCAAGUCGAACGGAAAGGCCCUGCUUGCAGGGUACUCGAGUGGCGAACGGGUGAGUAACACGUGGGUGAUCUGCCCUGCACUUCGGGAUAAGCCUGGGAAACUGGGUCUAAUACCGGAUAGGAGCCAUUUUUAGUGUGAUGGUUGGAAAGUUUUUUCGGUGUAGGAUGAGCUCGCGGCCUAUCAGCUUGUUGGUGGGGUAAUGGCCUACCAAGGCGGCGACGGGUAGCCGGCCUGAGAGGGUGGACGGCCACAUUGGGACUGAGAUACGGCCCAGACUCCUACGGGAGGCAGCAGUGGGGAAUAUUGCACAAUGGGCGCAAGCCUGAUGCAGCGACGCCGCGUUGGGGAUGACGGCCUUCGGGUUGUAAACUCCUUUCGCUAGGGACGAAGCUUUUUGUGACGGUACCUAGAUAAGAAGCACCGGCUAACUACGUG